AUCCACCCUACCCUCAACCCUUCAAAGCUUCCAGUAAAACAACUAUGCUGCUCUCCACUUCGAUGAGAUCAACUUUUUAAAAUUUUACAUGCGAAGCUACAUCUGAUUCCAGUGGGGCUUUGUUAAUGCGAUCCUUUCUCACUGUACCUGUUGCCUGAUGUUCCAUUGAACUGAGCUUAUCAAGAAGUGCAAUACUGGUGAAAAAGUUAUCGAAUACAAAAUGAUAUUGUCCAGGGUGUGUUUUAGUUUCAGAAAUAUCAGAUUAAGAAAGCUGCU
RNAcentral lists this long non-coding RNA (276 nucleotides) under Homo sapiens (human). RNAcentral describes it as "HSALNT0325874". Lineage: Eukaryota; Metazoa; Chordata; Mammalia; Primates; Hominidae. The record is from RNAcentral.